CAAAAAUGUCGAUUAAAUAAAUACUUUUAUGAUUUUUUUAAAAUUAUAUGUCUAAAUUUUUAAUAUAAAAAAUAUAAUUAUUACAUUUUUCAUUUUACAAUGUUUAUUUAAAAUAAUGAUUUCACAAAAAUAUAAUAUAUGUAAUUUUAAACAUUGAUAAAUUCUCUAUGAAAUAUCUUUUACACGUCAUCUGGACAAGAAUGAAGUUGCUUCUGAUUUUGUACUUAUAGCAGAUUGCAAACUCAUCAUGGAACCUCUAAAAAUGUUAAAUUAUAUAAUUAUAUUUAUAAUAUAAUAAUUACAUAAAAAUUAAGAAUUAAAGAAAUACCUAUAAUGAGUUGAAGAUAAUGUCUCAUAGAAGUACAUAAGUUGUGCUUUAUGGCUACUAAUGGAUGGAAGAAAUUCUCCUGAAUCAUCUUGAUUAUGCCAUUGUAAUAUAUAUAUACCUGCUUCUUGCAUUAUGUGAGAACCCUAUAUAAAAAUAAAUAAGUAUUACAUAAUUAUUAUAAUGUAAUUAUAUUGUAAGUAAAUUCCUUACAGAAUCUUUAAAAUUAUUUUAAAAAAAUUUAUUAGCAAAAUUAAAAAUUUUUUAUUUUUGAUUUCUUAUUUUAAUUUAAAAAAUUACUUCUUAAAUUUUUUAACAUUUGUAAUUGAAUAUUAAAAAAUUUAUUGUACAUAUAUUUUAUUUUAUUUCUAUAAUAUAUUAUUACUUUUAUUACAUUUGAUAAGAGAAAGAAAAUAAUUUCAAAAAUGACUUAUUUUUCAUUUUGGAAUUUGAAUAUCAUUCAAUUCUAUUAUAUAUAUGAUUAUAAUAUAAAUAAAAAAUAUUUUAUACAACAUAUUGUAUAUUUAUAUUAUAUUAUGUACAAUAAGGAAUCAAUAAUAGAAAAUUUUAUGUAAAUUAGUAUGUAUUUUAGUUAUACUUUUUAUUUAAAUUUUUUUUUAUACUUACUUGAAUACUUUCACCAUCAUGACAAAUAAUACUAGGUUCAACUUUAAUGAAAUGACCUUUGAUUUCUUUUGUUUCUAAUAGUUCUGCAUCUUCAUCUGUAACAGUUUCUGAAAAAAUUAUAUUAAUCAUUUAUAUAAUUAUAACAAAUAAUUAGUUAAAUAUAUAAAGUUAAAUUUUAAUUUUUAAAUAUUUUUUUUAAAUAUUUUUUUUAUUUUAAUAUAUUAUAAAAUCUAAAAAUGAUGAUUAAUAAUAUUUUUAAACUUGAAAUUAUUUUACAUUUUAUUGAUAUACUUACAUACCUAAAGAACGAUUAAUUGUAUCAUCAUGACCUUGAUAAAGUACGGUAAAUAUGAUAUUAUGGCGCAUUACAUCAAAAUCCCAUGUUAAAACUGAUCCUGGAUCAUUUGAACGAAUUAUUAUACGAUGAAUUUGUCCACGGCUUAAACUAAUCGAAUGAUAUAGAUUAUGUUCUUCUUGAGUAGAUGUAGGUUCUAAUUCCAUUUUAUAUAGAUGUUUCGGAACAAUUCCUCCUUCGGUGAUGUAAGUCUAAUAUAAAUAGAAAUAAAUAUUAAAUAUAGUUCUAUUUAUCUUAUAAUAUAUCUUAUAAUUUUUUAUAAAGAAUAACAUAAUAAAUAAUGCAUACAGUAUUUAUUUGUUACAUAUUUCGAACUUUUUACGCAAAUAUGUAUGCACAGAUAUCAUCCCCAUCACUAAAAAGGAAUCCCCAUUGAAUUCAUUAAAAUGAAUAUCAGGCAUCGUCUUUUAAGUCCAUAGUGAUUUCGUAUAUAAAAAGGAACAUAAGGAAAACAAGUUGGAAAUAUGAUGUGACAUUUGUAUUAAUAUAUAUGUAAGUACAUAAUUUAUGAACAUGUAUGAACUAUAAAGAUAUUAUUACUAAUUCUCGCAUCACAUACUUAAAUUGAUACGCAAUAAAAAUUAAAUAAUUGCUGAAAAAUCGACAUCCAAACUACUAAAGUACUUAUAGAAUAUUUAUAGAAUAGUGAAAUUGAAAUUUAAUAUAGAUUAGAAUACGGAAUUCUUUUUAUAUUUUAUCUAACAAUAAAUAUAUUAUUCGUUUUGUUGUAUCAAGAAUCCCUUAAUAAUUUAUUUGUAUACAUUGUCAAUUAUUUAAUUUUUAUUGAAUAAAAGUCUAUGUGAUGUCAAUUUUUUCCUACAAAAUGAACAUUUAUUUCAUAAAUUUUUAGAAAUAUAUAUAUAUAAAAAAGUAUUUUAUAUUUUAUAUAUUCAUCUUUGUUCUGUUUUAUUAUAUUUAUAUUUUUUGAUAACAAUUUAUACAAUUCUUAAUAAAAUAUUACGAAAGACGA
This is a long non-coding RNA of Apis cerana (Asiatic honeybee), 2277 nucleotides long. RefSeq lists it as uncharacterized. NCBI's taxonomy places the organism in Eukaryota, Metazoa, Arthropoda, Insecta, Hymenoptera, Apidae. The record is from RefSeq and is a predicted model, not a curated record.